CAGCAGAAAUUUAUUUUCUCACAGUUCUUGAGGCUGGAAGUCCAAGAUCAAGGUGUUGGCAGGUUUGGUUUCUCCCAAGGCCUCUCUUCUUGGUUUGCAGAUGGCAUCUUCUCACUGUGUGCUCACACGGCC
RNAcentral lists this microRNA precursor (132 nucleotides) under Chlorocebus sabaeus (green monkey). RNAcentral describes it as "miRNA (ENSCSAG00000024120.1)". Lineage: Eukaryota; Metazoa; Chordata; Mammalia; Primates; Cercopithecidae. The record is from RNAcentral.